CUGGGAGGAGGCUAAGGGGGCUGGAAGGGGGUGAGCCUCUCUGAGGGCUGAGGGCCACCAAGGAGGCACCCGCUCCUGCUCAGGGCUCAUCACGCAGCUUCCUGAGACCUGUGGCAAAAUAAUUCUCUCGUGUUCUUCACUGUGGAUUCCGUGGGUGAAGGAUGGGGACGGGGAGGAAGGAAGGAGCAGAAAGCGGCCUGAGGAGUGGUGGCGAUGAGAAUUCCUAGAUCAAGCACAAGAACUGUGGAGCAAAGUAACUAAGCACUGGGUAUAAGCAGUCAGAUGUGAAACCCACAAAACCCUCUUGCAAAGAGAGCGGGUGGAAUCAGCAAGUCCAUAUCCAGAUCCCCCAUCUCAAUAAUUUCUGCACUCUGGGCAGGUUACUUGAUUUCAGAAAAGCAAAAAAAAGAAUAAAACAAAGAAAGAAAAAAGAAAAAUCAGUACCUCCAAGCUUGCAGCCAAUAAAAUGUCAAUUUCAUCGUAACCGUGUCCACAGCAUCACUAACAGUGUACUCGGCACGAGGCUGGGGAGGAGUUGGGGUAAGGGAGGCUCGUAAAAAUGGCCGAUGCAGAUAUUAAUGAUUUAAUCUGCUAACGCGGCGUGGAGGCCUCUGAGAAUCCUAUUCGUCAGCGUCCAGGAGCCCAUGAGGAGGAGGCGUGGGGAGAAGGAUCGCAGAUAGCGCCGGGAUGUGGUGCGAAUGAAGAUGAAUCGUGGAGCACAGUAUUGAUCUGCCUUGCCUGGAACGGCCACUUUCUGUUUGGAAAUAUGGAAAGCAAAUUAAUGAAUAAAUGAGCUGGCUCAGUGAGCUGUGCCCCGCUGGGAGGCCUGGUGUUUAAGCCACAUAUGCCAACAGGCUCUGAGCAAAUACAGGGAGGGAGGGGGGCUUUGCUGAGAGGGAAGAUGUGGCUCUGCGUGGUGGUCUAGAACCCGCGCCCAGAGCGGCUCUGGAGAGCAGAGGCAGGUGUCCUGGGGUCAGAUUGCUGAUGGCAUUUGGCUCUGCCUCCUGCUGGCUGUGGGGCCUUGAAAACUCGUGCAAUCUCUCUGAACCUGAGUUUCUUCAUGACAGAAAGAGGGUGGGAAAGGAUCAAUGGGAGGAUUCAACUAGGUCACCUGUGUCCUGUACUGGCUCCACCUCUUACAGGCUGUGAGAUACUGGAGAAAUCUUCUGACUUCUCUGUGCUUCGAAUUUCCCUUCUGUCGUACAAUAACACCUAUCCGUGGGACACCGUGGUGAAAAGUGGUAACUUUCAUAACUACUCAACAUUCAACAAAUAUUAAUCACUUAUUAUGUGCCAAUGACAGUUCUAGAUGCCUGGGGUAGGGCUGUGAACAAAAGGGUAACAUUCUUUCUCUCAUAGAAUUUCUUAUUUUUUUCCUGUGACUGUGCAAAUGUCCCAGCACCUCUGUUGGAAGGACUCGCCCUCUUCCACUGAGUUGUCUCUGCCCCCUGUCAACAAUCAGACGGCCGCACUUGUGUGUGGCUAACCUGGGUUUUCUAUUCUGCCCCAUCCGUCCAUGUGUCUGUCCCUCUGCCGACAGCACACUGUCUCGAUGACCGCAGCUCUAGAGGAAGUCUCCAAAGUGGGUGGAAUGAGUCCUCCCACUUUACUCUUCUUUUCCAAAUUCUACUUUCUUUGCCUUUCCAUAUAAAUCUUAGAACAAGCUUGCUUAUAUCUACGAAAAAAAUCUUGCUGGGAUUUUUGAUAGGAAUUGUGUUAACCCUGUAUUUCAACUUGGGGGGAACUGACAUCUUUACUACGCUGAGUCUUCCAAUCCAUGAACAUGGUACAUUUCUCCAUUCAGUUAGAUCUUUGAUUUCUAUCAGCAGCAUUUGUAGUCUUCAGCAUACAAUCCCUGUCAUAUUUUGCUGGAUUUAUUCCUAAAUAUUUCAUUUUUCU
Long non-coding RNA from Equus caballus (horse), 1899 nucleotides. The record is from Ensembl. NCBI's taxonomy places the organism in Eukaryota, Metazoa, Chordata, Mammalia, Perissodactyla, Equidae.